RNAcentral lists this unclassified non-coding RNA (233 nucleotides) under plant metagenome. Its description in RNAcentral is "partial contains small subunit ribosomal RNA, internal transcribed spacer 1, and 5.8S ribosomal RNA". The record is from RNAcentral.
UCUCCGUUGGUGAACCAGCGGAGGGAUCAUUACCGAGUUUUUCUCCUCCAAAACCCCUCCGAACUUAUACCUUUACUGUUGCUUCUGCGGGUUAACGCCCCGCCGGGCCCAAGACGCCGCCGGAACCAGGCGCCCGCCGGGGGACCCAAACUCUUGUAUUUCUUACUUAUCAUGUCUGAGUUGAAACACAAACAAAUGUAUCAAAACUUUCAACAACGGAUCUCUUGGUUCUG